This 121-nucleotide small nuclear RNA is filed under the name Chelonoidis abingdonii (Abingdon island giant tortoise). Its description in RNAcentral is "U4 spliceosomal RNA (ENSCABG00000003859.1)". It matches the Rfam family "U4 spliceosomal RNA". Rfam says of the family: U4 small nuclear RNA (U4 snRNA) is a component of the major U2-dependent spliceosome. The structure of U4 snRNA from yeast and human has been reported. U4 snRNA presents a k-turn RNA motif in the 5p-SL related to recognition of Snu13 protein. Lineage: Eukaryota; Metazoa; Chordata; Testudines; Testudinidae. The record is from Rfam by way of RNAcentral.
CUUGAAAUGCAGUGGCAGUAUCAUAACCAAUAAAGUUAAUCUGAGGUGUGAUUAUUGCUAGUUGAAAUCUUUUCAAGGUGACCUCUGUAUAUUCAUACUUAUGGGUUGUGCCUCUCAAGGG